CCCGAUUCUGGCCUCACGGCAAAACAAGAACAAAGAACAUGGAGGGUCAACGCGGCUGUGCUGUUCGGAAGAGGGGAGGACCAUGUCACUGCACGAUCCGUACCGGUAGCACGAGCCGUCCCAUCAGCUCAUUUGCGCAUGCGCGAACUGAAUAACCUCCGGCUAAGUUACAUAUUGGACCAGGACCGUUCUGAUAGUAAAGGAGGGAAGUGUGUGUCUGACACGAGAGGAUUUCUAGUCCUUGGGGUUAAAUCAGUGCAUGGAAUCAAAUAUUGGAAAUGCUUGCCUGAAAAUAGUGGAGGAAACGGCAAAGAUGUGUAAUUAAAUUGCUUAGAUCUUCUGUUUUAAGCCCUAUGAACCAAUCAAAAUGCUUAACAUCAUUCUUUCUGUUUUCAUAAGGGAAGAGAAAUACACAUCUCCGAUCUGUGUGUGGUGCCCCUGUGGAAGUCAGAACAUGUGGAUCCUUUGUGUUCAUUGGCUGACCUGACAACAAAAGAUGUUGUAGCUUUCCCAGCUGGAACCAACAACAAGGCGCUGCUGAUCACUACCUCCUCUAUGUAAUGACAUUUUUCUGUUUAAAAUAAUUUUAGUGAAUGAUGGAUAUGUAUUGCUAUUUAAUUAUGUGAUAAUAAAAAUAAUAUCAAUUGCAGGUUCUACUGGUAAAACAGAGAGAGACAGUGUUUCUUGACUCCCUUCGACCUGAUGGUUUUGGCGACGAGGCCUACAGAAAUAUAUUUAGGUUCAAGCUAUAUAAAUUCACUGGUUAUGGCCUAUUGCCAGUUCUGUUUCUUCGGAUAUAUGUUCAUAAAAGCCUCGUUCUCAGGCUACUUGUAUAUUGCAGUGUUUCACACCGUAAUCUAAAUUUAUAAUUCAAAUGUGUUUAGACGCAUUGCUGCCUUAUCAAUCAUGGUCUGAGAAGACAGGGGGAGACCUUGAAGUAUGUUUUUACUUAUCAAAGUGUGAACAGUUUGCAAUAAAACACAUAUUUAUCGCUAAUAUAUGGUUUUACUUUUCUCUAAUUUUACAUGUGUCUUUUAGCAUAGUUCUUAAGAUGUUUGUACAAUCAGUUCUUAAUUUAAUGCAUAAAGUUUUCUCUCUCUCUAAAUUUUUUUUUCCCUUUUCAAAUUACAACCCAUUUUAACCUUAUCAGCAUUUCAUAUAGGUUUUAAGGCCUAGUUAAAAAUUUUUCUCGCCUGUUCUAAUCGUAUUUGUGUAUAGUUUGGUGGUAGUGGGAAAUGAGUUUUUUGCUGUUUAAUUUACAAUGUUGUUUGAUUUACAUGUUUUGUUUUGAAGUUUUCAGAGGACACUUUACAGGAUAUUAGAGCAAGAUCUUUUCUUUAGAUAAAAGGUUAAUAAGCAAUGAUUAGGUUUUUUUCUUUUUAAAAAGCAAAAAUGUUUCCCAGUUGUGGUUAGGGAAAUAAAAAUAUAUACACCGUUUCAUAAAGCACAUAAAAAACCCUGCUAUAAACACAUA
Long non-coding RNA from Fundulus heteroclitus (mummichog), 1474 nucleotides. RefSeq lists it as uncharacterized. The record is from RefSeq and is a predicted model, not a curated record. Lineage: Eukaryota; Metazoa; Chordata; Actinopteri; Cyprinodontiformes; Fundulidae. The transcript has 4 exons.